RNAcentral lists this long non-coding RNA (739 nucleotides) under Rhagoletis pomonella (apple maggot). Its description in RNAcentral is "uncharacterized LOC118756064". Lineage: Eukaryota; Metazoa; Arthropoda; Insecta; Diptera; Tephritidae. The record is from RNAcentral.
AUACGUUGGCAACUUCUCGCUCUAAUCCGCCAUCUUGAACUACCUUAGGAGAAACUGUGUUGUUUCUUUGCUAUUUUCACUGAACAUUUCCCAAAAUAUUAGAAAAAUAUUCUGAACAAGCUACAUUGAUUAAAUUUUCGUUGUUCGUUUUGUUCUUAUUCGCUGACAUUUGUUUUCCAAUUGCGUGAAAUUUGGUAAUUUCCUUAGUGUUUCGCUGACCGACCUGUGCUGGUAUUGUGAUUAAGAGCUAAUACACAUUUUUCGGACGAUUCUGCUGUGCUGCGUUCCUGCUCCGCCUGUAUAUUGCUCCGCCCGUAUUUUAUAGUGUUGCGUUCCUGUUGCGCCUUUGCAUUAGUGUGUGCGUUGUGAUUUAGACACGUUGAAAUUUUUUGUAUGCUUCUGCUGUGCUGCGUUCCUGCUCCACCCGUGUAUUAGAUUGCUGCGUUCCUGUUAACAUACAUAUCGUCGCUUAAAGUACAAAACCGCGUAACUGACAUUUGCUGCUAAAAAUUGGAUUCGCUCACACACGUUUUUGGAUCAAUCCUUAUCCAUUCUUCCUGAAAUAUACUAGCCAAAAAUGCGAUUGCUUUUUACAAAAAGAUAACCAUUUUGAAAUAUGAGUGUUUUUACUCUCUAGAAAUUAAUUUAUGCAACCUCGCAUACGUGGGUUUGCAUUAUCUCUAUACGCGGUUUUGCAAUUUAUUGAUACAUGGUUUUGUACUUUAAACGACGAUAUGUA